RNAcentral lists this ribosomal RNA (469 nucleotides) under uncultured bacterium. RNAcentral's name for it is "bacterial SSU rRNA". The stretch from base 105 to 469 matches the Rfam family "Bacterial small subunit ribosomal RNA", at positions 1 to 352 of the family's 1533-position model. The record is from RNAcentral.
CACCCCCUGAAUCCGGUAAUCAAUGGCCACUAGACUCGUGUACCUUGUACACACGACGGCCAGUGGAUCCGGAAUCAGGCACAGAGAUGUAUCCUGGAAAAAGACGGCCAGAGAAUCCGAAAUCGUGUCCAGAGGUGUUUCGUGGGAAAGGCACGAUACGUGAAACUCGGAGUCAACAGAUUAGGAGCUUGCUCGCUUUGACGUUAGCGGCGGACGGGUGAGUAACACGUGAAUAACCUACCUAUAAGACUGGGAUAACUUCGGGAAACCGGAGCUAAUACCGGAUAACAUAUUGAACCGCAUGGUUCAAUAGUGAAAGGCGGCUUUGCUGUCACUUAUAGAUAGAUCCGCGCCGUAUUAGCUAGUUGGUAAGGUAACGGCUUACCAAGGCAACGAUACGUAGCCGACCUGAGAGGGUGAUCGGCCACACUGGAACUGAGACACGGUCCAGACUCCUACGGGAGGCAGC